Molecule: long non-coding RNA, 329 nt
Filed under: Ananas comosus (pineapple)
Lineage: Eukaryota; Viridiplantae; Streptophyta; Magnoliopsida; Poales; Bromeliaceae
Description: long non-coding RNA (ACOM_LNC028956)
Source: RNAcentral
UCGAUCUUUAGUGUUUUUAAAUAUAGUUUUCGGGUAGGAAACACUUUUAAAGAAUAGAACUGAUUGCUGUAAUGUGUAUUGGCAUCAUCCUUCACCUAAGGAGUAUUUAGAGUAUGCAUCAUCAUAAGGAUUGUUAGCUGAAUGAUUAUCUGGCAUCCACAUUGUGUAUGUUGUUUGUGUGAAUGGAUGAAUGCGUUGUUGUGUAUGUUAUAUUGGUACGCCGUGUAGAUACAGGAAAGACUGUCUGUGUGGACAAAGAGAUUUGUAUAUCUGUGGCAGGUCUAUUACGUUUUGGAGACAAGUUGUAAUUUUUAAAAAAAUAUGGGCAU